CCUACGGGUGGCAGCAGUGGGGGAUAUUGCACAAUGGGGGAAACCCUGAUGCAGCGACGCCGCGUGGGCGAAGAAGUAUUUCGGUAUGUAAAGCCCUAUCAGCAGGGAAUAAGAAAUAACGGUACCUGAGUAAGAAGCACCGGCUAAAUACGUGCCAGCAGCCGCGGUAAUACGUAUGGUGCAAGCGUUAUCCGGAUUUACUGGGUGUAAAGGGAGCGCAGGCGGCACGGCAAGCCAGAUGUGAAAGCCCGAGGCCCAACCGUGGGACUGCAUUGGGAACUACCGGGCUGGAGUCCCGGAGAGGUAGGCGGAAUUCCUAGUGGAGCGGUGAAAUGCGUAGAUAUUAGGAGGAACACCAGUGGCGAAGGCGGCUUACUGGACGGUGACUGACGCUGAGGCUCGAAAGCGUGGGGAGCAAACAGGAUUAGAUACCCCGGUAGUC
RNAcentral lists this ribosomal RNA (442 nucleotides) under uncultured bacterium. RNAcentral's name for it is "partial 16S ribosomal RNA". It matches the Rfam family "Bacterial small subunit ribosomal RNA", at positions 338 to 795 of the family's 1533-position model. The record is from RNAcentral.